UUAUUAUUUCAACCUACACACUUCUAACUCAAAAGAUAUCCCAAAUUUGAACAGUGAUAUAUUUGAUAAUAUCAAGGCAUUAUUAAUUUUCAUAAACAUAAUAGUUCAUGUUUUUCAAAAAGAACCCUUACUUUCUAGAGAUACAUACAAAAAUAUGUACCAAUAAAAUUAUAAAUAAUGGCAUUUGCUCUAAAAAUGGAGGGGUAGAGAAUAAAAGCAUAAGUAAUGCCAUGUAAAGAUCACAAGAUGAAAACAGGUCAAACUGCGUGAUGUCUACACGUGGGCUCAUUAUAGCUUUGCAUACAUUUGAAUCUGUCCAUAACAAAAAGAAAAAGAAAAAAGAAACAUCAAUCUCUCUCUCUCAAUAUGUAUGAUAAGAACUUAUACAGAUUU
Molecule: long non-coding RNA, 393 nt
Organism: Phyllostomus discolor (pale spear-nosed bat)
Lineage: Eukaryota; Metazoa; Chordata; Mammalia; Chiroptera; Phyllostomidae
Exons: 3
Source: RefSeq, a predicted model, not a curated record